UCUGCUCAAUGAUUUUUUAAAUUGCUGUGGUAUUUUGACUAUACAAAGGUAUUGUAAUAAGAUUUUAAUUGAAUGCUAAGAGAAUGGGAAUUUAAAAAAAGGCUUUUUUAAGAAUAAAAAUUGAAUUUUUUUUAAUUUGUGCAAAAACAAUUAUUUUUAUUAAAGACAAGAAGACCCUAAGAAUUUAUGAUUUUACCAUUUAAAAAUUUUUUUUUUUAAAAUCUUGGUUGGGGCGAUCAAAAAAUAUUAAUAACUUUUAAAAAUUUAAACUGAUCUAUUAUUAAUAAACUAAUGAAAUAAAUACUCUAGGGAUAACAGCGUAAUAAUUUUUGAUAGAUCUUAUUGAAAAAAUAGUUUGCGACCUCGAUGUUGGAUUAGGAUUCUUUUUUAAUGAAGAAGUAAUAUUAUUCCGCUGCCAAUCCCCC
This 425-nucleotide ribosomal RNA is filed under the name Ixodida sp. Its description in RNAcentral is "partial large subunit ribosomal RNA". Lineage: Eukaryota; Metazoa; Arthropoda; Arachnida; Ixodida. The record is from RNAcentral.